GGACCCGCACAAGUAGUGGAGCAUGUGGUUUAAUUCGAAGAUACGCGCAGAACCUUACCAACACUUGACAUGUUCGUCGCGACUUUAAGAGAUUAAAGUUUUCGGUUCGGCCGGACGAAACACAGGUGCUGCAUGGCUGUCGUCAGCUCGUGUCGUGAGAUGUUGGUUAAGUCCCGCAACGAGCGCAACCCUCACUUUUAGUUGCCAUCAUUUAGUUGGGCACUCUGAAAAGAACUGCCAGUGAUAAGCUGGAGGAAGGUGGGGAUGACGUCAAGUCCUCAUGGCCCUUACGUGUUGGGCUACACACGUGCUACAAUGGGAAUACAGACGGACGCUAAGCCGCGAGGUGGUG
Molecule: ribosomal RNA, 352 nt
Filed under: uncultured bacterium
Lineage: Bacteria
Description: bacterial SSU rRNA
Rfam family: Bacterial small subunit ribosomal RNA
Source: RNAcentral